AGCACUGGAAAGAUUAACAAGAG
This 23-nucleotide non-coding RNA is filed under the name Cricetulus griseus (Chinese hamster). Lineage: Eukaryota; Metazoa; Chordata; Mammalia; Rodentia; Cricetidae. The record is from RNAcentral.